Molecule: long non-coding RNA, 740 nt
Organism: Rhincodon typus (whale shark)
Lineage: Eukaryota; Metazoa; Chordata; Chondrichthyes; Orectolobiformes; Rhincodontidae
Exons: 3
Source: RefSeq, a predicted model, not a curated record
UAGUAUUUUCACAUGGACGCCCAUCUGCGUUAAUCCACCGCAGGUUUAUUAGGAUAAAGAGACAGCGAUUGAAAAUAACUUUUAUUUGAACGGUGGGGGGAGGGGUGUUGCCGUUUGCUUUUGCUGGAAAUGAUCUCAUUCAUUUAGAGCAAGAGUUACUGCUAAAGUGUAGGGCGCUCUCACUCGAGGAGUCUGUGUCUUUGCCUUUUGCGCUAUAUUCUGUGUGUACCAUGGGCAUACUGGAAAUCCACAAUAGUCCAACGUGCUUGGUGCGCGCCACAGGUCCGUGUGCAGAUUAGCGAGGGGCUUCUCGGACGUUUUGCCAAUGCACUUGCGGCGCGACUGUGCGCUUUUUUUGGGGGGGUGGUGGUAAGGAAAGUACAAAAUGGAGGCGGCUCGCACUCGGCAGGGUGUGGUAUCAGGAGGCAGAGGAUGCGGAAGAGUGCAAAGUCGUGUUUGACAAAACAGCAGAAGAACAACGUGGUGAAGGCGGAGCUUGGAACGAACGCGACGCAUGAUAUUUAAAGGGGCGGAUCUAACGUUGGAGUCUAGCCAUGAAAUCCUCCUGCUGUAUAUUCCUCUGGUAUCUGCUUGAAACAAAACCUACUCCAUAUGCAUUUCAGACUCAGUCAGACGAGACAACACACAAUAGUGGAGAAAACUGCCAGAAAGCAAUACUGGAUGAGUAUGUAGUACAUCAAACUGAUCGACACGACUGGAACAAAAGAUUUUGGUGGUAC